GAAGAGUGGCCAUGGCUGUGCUCCAUGGAGCUGCAAGGUGGCAAGAGAUGAGCUGCCUGCUUCCCAACACUGACACCUGUCCCAACUGUCCCAGAAUGGGCGGGAGGACAAUGACGCAGCCCCCUCCAAGCAGUGCUUACCUGCCUGUCCUACACCAUGCACCAGAAGUUGGAUAUGCCUGUCCACUUGGCCCACAGGACGAGCAGCAUCAGAACUACGGCUAGAAGCCAUGUCCAGGGGAGAACGAGGCCCCUAUAGGGAAACUUGGGGCCCACGUACCGCAGGUAGUACACAGCUUUCGUUGCUCGUUCCUGAUAGACAAACAUAUUCUUCCGGUUCACCACAGAGAAGGCAUUGAGCACGGAGCGCAGGGCCUGGAUGGC
Molecule: long non-coding RNA, 383 nt
Organism: Lutra lutra (Eurasian river otter)
Lineage: Eukaryota; Metazoa; Chordata; Mammalia; Carnivora; Mustelidae
Exons: 3
Source: RefSeq, a predicted model, not a curated record